RNAcentral lists this ribosomal RNA (406 nucleotides) under uncultured bacterium. RNAcentral describes it as "partial 16S ribosomal RNA". It matches the Rfam family "Bacterial small subunit ribosomal RNA", at positions 30 to 526 of the family's 1533-position model. The record is from RNAcentral.
AUUGAACGCUGGCGGCAGGCCUAACACAUGCAAGUCGAACGAGUGGCGGACGGGUGAGUAAUGUCUGGGAAACUGCCUGAUGGAGGGGGAUAACUACUGGAAACGGUAGCUAAUACCGCAUACCAUCGGAUGUGCCCAGAUGGGAUUAGCUAGUAGGUGGGGUAAAGGCUCACCGAGGCGACGAUCCCUAGCUGGUCUGAGAGGAUGACCAGCCACACUGGAACGUAGACACGGCCCAGACUCCUACGGGAGGCAGCAGUGGGGAAUAUUGCGCAAUGGGCGCAAGCCUGAUGCAGCCAUGCCGCGUGUAUGAAGAAGGCCUUCGGGUGGUAAAGUACUGUCAGCGGGGAUGCGUUACCUGCAGAAGAAGCACCGGCUAACUCCGUGCCAGCAGCCGCGGUAAUAC